CGUAGGUGGCGAGCGUUGUCCGGAAUUACUGGGUGUAAAGGGCGUGUAGGCGGGAAUGCAAGUCAGAUGUGAAAUGCCGAGGCUUAGCCUCGGAGCUGCAUCUGAAACUGUGUUUCUUGAGUGUCGGAGAGGAAAGUGGAAUUCCCAGUGUAGCGGUGAAAUGCGUAGAUAUUGGGAGGAACACCAGUGGCGAAGGCGACUUUCUGGACGAUAACUGACGCUGAGGCGCGAAAGCGUGGGGAGCAAACAGGAUUAGAUACCCUGGUAGUCCACGCCGUAAACGAUGGAUACUAGGUGUAGGAGGUAUCGACCCCUUCUGUGCCGCAGUUAACACAAUAAGUAUCCCACCUGGGGAGUACGGCCGCAAGGUUG
Molecule: ribosomal RNA, 372 nt
Filed under: uncultured organism
Description: bacterial SSU rRNA
Rfam family: Bacterial small subunit ribosomal RNA
Source: RNAcentral